AUGGCAAGCCGUCUUAUCGCUGCGCCUUCGGGCGGAGAGGAAAGUCCGGGCAACGUAGAGCAGCCUACUUCCUAACGGGAAGGGUUCCGGCGCCAGCCGGGAUACAGCCAGUGCCACAGAAAAUAACCGCCAUUUUUAAUUUUUUAAAAUGGUAAGGGUGAAAAGGUGCGGUAAGAGCGCACCAGUACGCGGGUGACCGUUGUAGCUGGGUAAACCUUAGGCGUUGAAAGACCAAAUAGGCUGGCAGCACUGCCACUUCGGUGGUAGUUAAGGGCGGCUCGUCCGAUGCCAGUGGGUAGGUUGAUGGAGCCCCGCCGCGAGGUUGGGCCUAGAUAAAUGAUAAGACGUUAACCUUUUGGUUAGCGACAGAACCCGGCUUACAGGCUUGCUAUAUUU
RNAcentral lists this RNase P RNA (396 nucleotides) under Adhaeribacter swui. Its description in RNAcentral is "RNase P RNA component class A". It matches the Rfam family "Bacterial RNase P class A". Rfam says of the family: Ribonuclease P (RNase P) is a ubiquitous endoribonuclease, found in archaea, bacteria and eukarya as well as chloroplasts and mitochondria. Lineage: Bacteria; Pseudomonadati; Bacteroidota; Cytophagia; Cytophagales; Hymenobacteraceae. The record is from RNAcentral.